UACGUAGGGGGCAAGCGUUGUCCGGAUUUACUGGGCGUAAAGAGCGCGCAGGCGGUCGUUCAAGUCGGGUGUGAAAGCCCCCGGCUCAACUGGGGAGGGUCACUCGAUACUGAUCGACUUGAAGGCAGGAGAGGGAAGCGGAAUUCCCGGUGUAGUGGUGAAAUGCGUAGAUAUCGGGAGGAACACCAGUGGCGAAGGCGGCUUCCUGGCCUGUUCUUGACGCUGAGGCGCGAAAGCUAGGGGAGCAAACGGG
Molecule: ribosomal RNA, 253 nt
Filed under: uncultured bacterium
Lineage: Bacteria
Description: partial 16S ribosomal RNA
Rfam family: Bacterial small subunit ribosomal RNA
Source: RNAcentral